Molecule: transfer RNA, 75 nt
Filed under: Hadesarchaea archaeon DG-33-1
Lineage: Archaea; Methanobacteriati; Hadarchaeota (SeqCode); Hadarchaeia (SeqCode)
Also listed under: 3 other names
Description: tRNA-Ala
Rfam family: tRNA
About the family: Transfer RNA (tRNA) molecules are approximately 80 nucleotides in length. Their secondary structure includes four short double-helical elements and three loops (D, anti-codon, and T loops).
Source: RNAcentral
GGGCCGGUGGCGAAGUGGUAUCGCGCUCGCUUCGCAAGCGAGAGGGCGCGGGUUCGAGUCCCGCCCGGUCCACCA